This 462-nucleotide ribosomal RNA is filed under the name uncultured bacterium. Its description in RNAcentral is "partial 16S ribosomal RNA". It matches the Rfam family "Bacterial small subunit ribosomal RNA", at positions 28 to 507 of the family's 1533-position model. The record is from RNAcentral.
GACGAACGCUGGCGGCGUGCUUAACACAUGCAAGUCGAACGGAAAGGCCCUUCGGGGUCCUCGAGUGGCGAACGAGUGAGUAACACGUGGGUGAUCUGCCCUGCACUUUGGGAUAAGCCUGGGAAACUGGGUCUAAUACCGAAUAGGACCGCGCGCUUCAUGGUGUGUGGUGGAAAGCUUUUGCGGUGUGGGAUGGGCCCGCGGCCUAUCAGCUUGUUGGUGGGGUAAUGGCCUACCAAGGCGACGACGGGUAGCCGGCCUGAGAGGGUGACCGGCCACACUGGGACUGAGAUACGGCCCAGACUCCUACGGGAGGCAGCAGUGGGGAAUAUUGCACAAUGGGCGCAAGCCUGAUGCAGCGACGCCGCGUGAGGGAUGACGGCCUUCGGGUUGUAAACCUCUUUCACCAGGGACGAAGCGCAAGUGACGGUACCUGGAGAAGAAGCACCGGCCAACUACGUG